Molecule: long non-coding RNA, 277 nt
Filed under: Lathyrus oleraceus (garden pea)
Lineage: Eukaryota; Viridiplantae; Streptophyta; Magnoliopsida; Fabales; Fabaceae
Description: Pisum sativum (pea) long non-coding RNA (PSAT_LNC027865)
Source: RNAcentral
GGACUUGGUAGAGUUUACAACUCUAUGCCUACGUACCUUCACAUUAGGCGAGGGAUCUAAGUACCGUAGUUCUUCAUAAAAAGUAUUUGUUUUUUUAUUCCUUAAAAAUUCUCACACAUCGUGGACGGAGAAGUAAUUUAUUUUGAAAAAUGCCUCAAUGCACCAGGGCGGAGGACUUACAGUUUGAGGUGAGUUUAGAUCAAUUUUAUCCCAAUUAUUUGAUUCAAAAAUAUAACAUUUAGUUUGUUUAAGAAAAUAAAUAAUAAUGUAUCCCUUA